CUCAACAUCAUGGAGUAUACAGUGAAUUAUAGCGUGAUAAAGUUAUAAUUUUCACUAAAUUUUCAACUGCACACACUUACCAGUGAACUGUGUGUAAAUCAUCAACUGCCUGUGUAUCAGCUGAUUUCUACACCAGCUUUACAUCCUGAGCAGAAGGUGAGUGCUCUGAAGUAUUUACCUCUCUUUUCAAGAACACCACUGAGCACAUCUUAAUCAGGGGACAGGGACACAUUUCUCUUCAUGAACAUGUGUGUGUUAAUGAAUGGUGGAGAUGGGGCCAAAUUUUGCAGCAAUCCUUAAUAGCAAAACCAAAUAAUUGGUUUUAAUACACAGCAUUACUAAAAGCUUGCAUUCUAUGAAAUUUUGUGUGCGUGCCUGCCUGCGUGUGUCAAACUGAUGUCAUAUGAUGUCAAACAUCAUGAAGUGAUAUUAACUUGCUUAUAAACCCAUAUGUGGAUUUAUAUUACAGAGAUGCCAUGGAGCUGCAUAGUAACACCAUGAAGUCUUUUUACUAGACACUUAUAAUAACAUGUCUUUAUUUCUCCCCUGUUGUAGAUUGUCGUGGAGAGGACGGACCCUUGAUGCUCUGCCUUUUUGCACCAACAAUACAUACAUGUAUUUUAUUAAUUUGUAAAUAAAGUCUUUAAUAUAA
Clarias gariepinus (North African catfish) is the source of this 652-nucleotide long non-coding RNA. RefSeq lists it as uncharacterized. The record is from RefSeq and is a predicted model, not a curated record. The transcript is spliced from 2 exons. NCBI's taxonomy places the organism in Eukaryota, Metazoa, Chordata, Actinopteri, Siluriformes, Clariidae.